GACGAACGCUGGCGGCGUGCUUAACACAUGCAAGUCGAACGAUGAAGCCUAGCUUGCUAGGUGUGUUAGUGGCGAACGGGUGAGUAAUACGUGAGUGACCUACCUUUGACUCUGGGAUAAGCCUGGGAAACUGGGUCUAAUACCGGAUACGACCAAUCUCCGCAUGGGGUGUUGGUGGGAAGCGUUCUGGGGUGGUUUUAGAUGGGCUCACGGCCUAUCAGCUUGUUGGUGGGGUAAUGGCUUACCAAGGCGACGACGGGUAGCCGGCCUGAGAGGGUGACCGGCCACACUGGGACUGAGACACGGCCCAGACUCCUACGGGAGGCAGCAGUGGGGAAUAUUGCACAAUGGGCGGAAGCCUGAUGCAGCGACGCCGCGUGAGGGAUGACGGCCUUCGGGUUGUAAACCUCUGUUAGCAUUGAAGAAGCGAAAGUGACGGUAGGUGGAGAGAAAGCGCCGGCUAACUACGUG
RNAcentral lists this ribosomal RNA (471 nucleotides) under uncultured bacterium. RNAcentral's name for it is "partial 16S ribosomal RNA". It matches the Rfam family "Bacterial small subunit ribosomal RNA", at positions 28 to 507 of the family's 1533-position model. The record is from RNAcentral.